RNAcentral lists this ribosomal RNA (499 nucleotides) under uncultured bacterium. Its description in RNAcentral is "partial 16S ribosomal RNA". It matches the Rfam family "Bacterial small subunit ribosomal RNA", at positions 28 to 507 of the family's 1533-position model. The record is from RNAcentral.
GAUGAACGCUGGCGGCGUGCCUAAUACAUGCAAGUCGAGCGAACAGACGAGAGUGCUUGCACUCUCUGACGUUAGCGGCGGACGGGUGAGUCACACGUGGGUAACCUACCUAUCAGACUGGGAUAACUUCGGGAAACCGGAGCUAAUACCGGAUAAUAUUUAGCUUCGCAUGAAGCAAUAGUGAAAGACGGUUCUGCUGUCACUUAUAGAUGGACCCGCGGUGUAUUAGCUAGUUGGUGAGGUAACGGCUCACCAAGGCAACGAUACAUAGCCGACCUGAGAGGGUGAUCGGCCACACUGGGACUGAGACACGGCCCAGACUCCUACGGGAGGCAGCAGUAGGGAAUCUUCCGCAAUGGACGAAAGUCUGACGGAGCAAUGCCGCGUGAGUGAAGAAGGUGUUCGGAUCGUAAAACUCUGUUGUAAGGGAAGAACAAGUACGUUAGUAACUGAACGUACCUUGACGGUACCUUACCAGAAAGCCACGGCUAACUACGUG